RNAcentral lists this ribosomal RNA (1242 nucleotides) under metagenome. Its description in RNAcentral is "bacterial LSU rRNA". It matches the Rfam family "Bacterial large subunit ribosomal RNA", at positions 1564 to 2816 of the family's 2925-position model. The record is from RNAcentral.
UGAAUACGAGAUGCUACGGCGUCGAAGCAGUCUAUGUCAUACUUCCAAGAAAAGCUCGCACUGUCAUAAACAAAUAAUGCCUGUACCAUAACCGACACAGGUGGGUAGGUAGAGUAUACUAGGGGCGCGAGAUAACUCUCUCUAAGGAACUCGGCAAAAUGACUCCGUAACUUCGGGAGAAGGAGUGCCUUAUUUAUAAGGUUGCAAUAACAAGAUCCAAGCAACUGUUUAUCAAAAACACAGGUCUCCGCUAAGUCGUAAGACGAUGUAUGGGGGCUGACGCCUGCCCAGUGCCAGAAGGUUAAAGAAGUUGGUUAGCAUUCGCGAAGCUGAUAACUGAAGCCCUGGUGAACGGCGGCCGUAACAAUAACGGUCCUAAGGUAGCGAAAUUCCUUGUCGGGUAAGUUCCGACCCGCACGAAAGGCGUAAUGAUUUGGAUACUGUCUCGGAGAGGGGCUCGGUGAAAUAGACUUGUCUGUGAAGAUGCGGACUACCUGCACCAGGACAGAAAGACCCUAUGAAGCUUUACUGUAACUUGAGAUUGAAAUUGGACUUUACUUGCGCAGUAUAGGUGGGAGGCGUUGAUAAUAUUCUUGCGGGAUUAUUUGAGCCAUCAGUGAGAUACCACUCUUGUAAUGUUAGAUUUCUAACUUUGUAUCAUUAUCUGGUCAAAGGACAGUUUCAGGCGGGCAGUUUGACUGGGGCGGUCGCCUCCUAAACGGUAACGGAGGCGCACGAAGGUUUCCUCUGAACGGGUAGAAAUCGUAUCUAGAGUGUAAAGGCAUAAGGAAGCUUGACUGUGAGACCUACAAGUCGAGCAGGGACGAAAGUCGGUCUUAGUGAUCUGACGGUGCUGAGUGGAAAGGCCGUCACUCAACGGAUAAAAGUUACUCUAAGGAUAACAGGCUGAUCUCCCCCAAGAGUUCACGUCGACGGGGAGGUUUGGCACCUCGAUGUCGGCUCAUCGCAUCCUGGGGCGGUAGUACGUCCCAAGGGUUGGGCUGUUCGCCCAUGAAAGCGGUACGCGAGCUGGGUUCAGAACGUCGUGAGACAGUUCGGUCCAUAUCCGGUGUAGGCGUUAAAAUAUUGAGAGGAGCCUUCUUUAGUACGAGAGGACCGAGAAGGACAUACCUCUGGUGUACCAGUUAUCGUGCCAACGGUAAACGCUGGGUAGCUAUGUAUGGAGUGGAUAACCGCUGAAAGCAUCUAAGUGGGAAGCCCACCUCAAGAUAAGUAUUCUCC